RNAcentral lists this ribosomal RNA (253 nucleotides) under uncultured bacterium. RNAcentral's name for it is "partial 16S ribosomal RNA". It matches the Rfam family "Bacterial small subunit ribosomal RNA", at positions 524 to 776 of the family's 1533-position model. The record is from RNAcentral.
UACGUAGGGAGCAAGCGUUGUCCGGAUUCACUGGGUGUAAAGGGUGCGUAGGCGGCGCGGUAAGUCGGGUGUGAAAUCUCGGAGCUUAACUCCGAAACUGCAUUCGAUACUGCCGUGCUUGAGGACUGGAGAGGAGACUGGAAUUUACGGUGUAGCGGUGAAAUGCGUAGAUAUCGUAAGGAAGACCAGUGGCGAAGGCGGGUCUCUGGACAGUUCCUGACGCUGAGGCACGAAGGUCAGGGGAGCAAACGGG